Molecule: ribosomal RNA, 459 nt
Filed under: Salfia derosasi
Lineage: Eukaryota; Metazoa; Arthropoda; Insecta; Coleoptera; Leiodidae
Description: partial 16S ribosomal RNA
Rfam family: Bacterial large subunit ribosomal RNA (bases 320-459)
Source: RNAcentral
ACUGUACAAAGGUAGCAUAAUAAUUAGUUUCUUAAUUAGGAACUGGAAUGAAUGAUUGAACGAGAUAAUAACUGUCUCAGUUUUAUUUAUAGAAUUUUAUCUUUAAGUAAAAAAGCUUAAAUUUAUUUAAAAGACGAGAAGACCCUAUAGAAUUUUAUAAGGCUUAUUUUAUGAGAAUUUUGGUAUUUAUUAUUCUUAUUUUUUUUGGUUUAUUUAGUUGGGGUGAUUGAAAAAUUAAUUUAACUUUUUUUAUAAUUUUAUAUUUAUAUAUAUAUAUAUUGAUCCAAUAUUUUUGAUUAUAAGAUUAAAUUACCUUAGGGAUAACAGCGUAAUUUUUUUAGAGAGUUCUUAUCGAUAAAAGAGAUUGCGACCUCGAUGUUGGAUUAAAGUUAAUUUUUAAUGUAGAAGUUAAAAUAUUAGGUCUGUUCGACCUUUAAAUCUUUACAUGACGAUGUGUAC